AGAGUUUGAUCAUGGCUCAGAUUGAACGCUGGCGGCAUGCUUUACACAUGCAAGUCGUACGCGGGUGAGGGGCAACUCUCACCUGAGUGGCGAACGGGUGAGUAAUACAUCGGAACGUGUCCCGUAGUGGGGGGAUAGCUCGGCGAAAGCCGGAUUAAUACCGCAUAUGCUCUACGGAGGAAAGCGGGGGAUCCGCAAGGACCUCGCGCUAUGGGAGCGGCCGAUGUCCGAUUAGCUUGUUGGUGGGGUAACGGCUUACCAAGGCGACGAUCGGUAGCUGGUCUGAGAGGAUGAUCAGCCACACUGGGACUGAGACACGGCCCAGACUCCUACGGGAGGCAGCAGUGGGGAAUUUUGGACAAUGGGGGAAACCCUGAUCCAGCCAUGCCGCGUGAGUGAAGAAGGCCUUCGGGUUGUAAAGCUCUUUUGGCCGGAAAGAAAAGGCUACGGAUAACACCCGUGGUCCUUGACGGUACCGGCAGAAUAAGCACCGGCUAACUACGUGCCAGCAGCCGCGGUAAUACGUAGGGUGCGAGCGUUAAUCGGAAUUACUGGGCGUAAAGAGUGCGUAGGCGGUCCCGCAAGUCCGCUGUGAAAGCCCCGGGCUUAACCUGGGAAUGGCAGUGGAAACUAUGGGACUUGAAUCUGGCAGAGGGGGGUGGAAUGCCACGUGUAGCAGUGAAAUGCGUAGAGAUGUGGCGGAACACCGAUGGCGAAGGCAGCCCCCUGGGCUGAGAUUGACGCUCAGGCACGAAAGCGUGGGGAGCAAACAGGAUUAGAUACCCUAGUAGUCC
Molecule: ribosomal RNA, 794 nt
Filed under: uncultured bacterium
Lineage: Bacteria
Description: bacterial SSU rRNA
Rfam family: Bacterial small subunit ribosomal RNA
Source: RNAcentral